GUCCUCUCGCCCGUGGAUUCGGGGGCCGAGCGCAAAAGCCCCGCGCCCCGAGUGGCCGCCGUAUGCCUGGGACACAGGUCUCGGCAGUCGUUUGUGAGGCGCGCCCCUCGCCGAGCGGAACAGCCCGAGGGUCUAUGGGGACGGGGCGGGUGCGGGGGGGCGGGGAAGCGUCUGCCAGGAGCUCUAGGGCGCUUGAGAGGGGACCAGCCCCGUCCCGCCCAGCACGUGCCCAUCCAGGUCUGGCUACCCGCUGCGGUUCAGGAGCCCGAAGGCGGGGCGGGGCGGGGAGGGUCGUCUCAAGUAAGGGCCUCUGGCCUGGAUCCAGUUUGAGAGCGACAAGGCAAUAAGGCCCGGGAGGGGAGAGGUCGGGAGGGGGUUCCUCAAUCCCUCUUACUUUUCCCUACCACACACCUCACCCCCAGGCCACUCCGACCUUAGACACGGGGCCCAGACCGCAGAGGACCCGGAGAAUCCGUCAGUGCUUUCCUGUCCCAGCGACUCCUAACAGGGUGGGGAGGGGUCUCUCCGCCUUUUCUCUUCACAUCGCAUUCCCCCCUACCCCCCCCCCACCCCCCGCAAUAACCUAGGUGGGUCCAACUGGGAGGGGGAAGAGUCCUCUGUCUCCAUCUUCAUCCUGUUCCCGCCCCCCACCCCCGCCACUUUCACAAAAACCCUAGCCUUCGGGGGAGGGGUGGGUGCGAGGGUCUUUCUGACAUCCCCAAACAGCCCUUCCUCAGGAGGGUCUGAGCAGAGGAGGUGGAGCACCGCAGUUUCAUCCAUCACAUCGAGACCCUCUUUGUAACGUCAGGCAGCCGAGGUGUUGUGGGGAAGGGUCCUCCUGCCUCCGAAUCUUUCGUCCCGGAACACUCCCUUCCAUCCUCAAUAAUCCAAGCAGCCUCGACUUCAGGCACAGGCUGAGAGAGACUCCGGUCUCUCAAUGCACCGUCUCAGGAGAGACGGUGGGGCAGGUCCCGUCCCCUCCUCGCCCCUCACGCUCAAGAGCCUCCUUCACCAUAAGACAAAAACUAACCAAAGCUGCUCCGAUCCCAGGCACAGGGCCACAGGGAGACUCACGAGGAGCCGGUCAGCAGCUCUCCGGGACAGAUGGUCUUGGGGGCGGCGCGGACUGGUCCCAUCAACUCCCAGGUCCCCUCACGCCUCGGUUCAUUCCUUUCCCCAAAAAACAAAAGCGAAUCCAGCAGCACCGACCUCAGAGAGGCGGGAGGGCUAUCGCCGCCCGGCAGCGCACCCAGCUCCUCUGGGCUCCUCACGGCUUCAGCUGUUCCAGGCGAUGGCUCUCGCGGCGGCAGCGGCGGCGACGGCUGCGACCGCGGCUCUCCGGUCCAGAGCCUCCCUCGGACUCAGCACCUGGAGCUGCGAACAGCUCCGCGCCUCAUUCCGCUGUCCCCGCCUCCUCCGUGCCGCCGUAGCCAAUGGCGGCCUGGGCUCCGCCCAGGAGGCCGCCCAUUGGGGGUGCCAUCCCCACUCCCUUUGGCCCCGCCCGUGGGGUUCCUCUGUCUCUCCUACAAGACCGCAUCCCCGAGAGACCACCGGAGUUUUCGCACAGCCUUCUGGAACUUGUAGUCCUUUAAGGACGCAGAGUGGGCUCGUGCAUCGGGCAGGUAUUGAUCUGGCAUGUGGUCCCUGUAGCUCCCCUGUGGCCCCAUUUCUGCCUCUGAAGCAGCAGAGCCCACGCACCAGUUGUUACAGAACCUCCCUACCUUGGCUGCCCAUCUCUGCAAAUAUGUGGUCAGACUGGAAUGGUCAACCCCAGGUAAGUCAGGCAGGCCCAGAGGCCAAGACGCUGUUGCACUCACAAGUCUGCAGUGGCCAUGUCAGCAGCCUCUUUAGCCGGUUCAUAUGA
This 1864-nucleotide long non-coding RNA is filed under the name Cervus hanglu yarkandensis (Yarkand deer). RNAcentral's name for it is "lncRNA (ENSCHYG00000018212.1)". Lineage: Eukaryota; Metazoa; Chordata; Mammalia; Artiodactyla; Cervidae. The record is from RNAcentral.